CUACGGGUUGCUGCAGUGGGGAAUAUUGGACAAUGGGGGAAACCCUGAUCCAGCAAUGCCGCGUGUGUGAAGAAGGCCUGCGGGUUGUAAAGCACUUUCGGUUGGGAGGACUGCUUCUAGCACUAAUAUUGUUGGGAGUUGACGUUACCUUCAGAAGAAGCACCGGCUAACUCCGUGCCAGCAGCCGCGGAGUAAUACGGAGGGUGCAGGCGUUAAUCGGAAUUACUGGGCGUAAAGCGCGCGUAGGCGGCUAGAUCAGUCGGGUGUGAAAGCCCCGGGCUUAACCUGGGAACUGCAUCCGAUACUGUCUAGCUUGAGUACAGGAGAGGAGAGUGGAAUUCCACAGGUAGCGGUGAAAUGCGUAGAUAUGUGGAGGAACACCAAUGGCGAAGGCAGCUCUCUGGCCUGAUACUGACGCUGAGGUGCGAAAGCGUGGGGAGCAAACAGGAUUAGAUACCCCAGUAGUC
This 467-nucleotide ribosomal RNA is filed under the name uncultured bacterium. RNAcentral describes it as "partial 16S ribosomal RNA". It matches the Rfam family "Bacterial small subunit ribosomal RNA", at positions 339 to 795 of the family's 1533-position model. The record is from RNAcentral.